Epinephelus fuscoguttatus (brown-marbled grouper) is the source of this 1774-nucleotide RNA transcript. It is a transcript of the gene named hyaluronidase PH-20-like, with no coding region annotated. The transcript is spliced from 5 exons. NCBI's taxonomy places the organism in Eukaryota, Metazoa, Chordata, Actinopteri, Perciformes, Serranidae. The record is from RefSeq and is a predicted model, not a curated record.
CUUCUGCAGCAGCUUAUUUAAAGAGGAGCUAUUUAGACUCCCAGAGGACAGUGAAGAUGAGCGUUUAUGAGUAACAGGUAAUAAUUUCACAACUCACAGAGUGUGCGGUUUGGACGGCAGGAAGUUGGACCCGCAGAACAGAUCAGAUUACUGCUUCAAAAUGAACCAACUCAAACUGCUCAGUGACAGACAGCAUUUCGUCUUCAUCCUCAUCACCAUGUUGGCCCUUCUGUGCUCCGGCCAGAUCUUACCGAGGACAGAUCCUCCUAUACGCCCCGGCCACCCCUUCCUGUUCAUGUGGAACGCCCCGACCGAGCUGUGCGACAUCCGCUUCGGCAUGCCUCUCGACCUCUCCUACUUCCACUUUGUCAGCAGCACGCUGAGGACAGCAACCAACCAGAGCGUCUCCAUAUUCUACACCGACCGCUUCGGCAUCUUCCCCUACUUGGAUGAAGACACUGGUGAGAUGUACGAUGAGGGUCUGCCGCAGCUGGUAGACCUGGAGGAGCAUCACGAUGAAGCCGAGGAUGACAUCGAGUACUACAUCCCUUCUGACAUACCGGGCCUCGCUGUGCUUGACUUUGAGGAGUGGAGGCCGCAGUGGAUCAGAAACUGGGGCGACAAAGACAUCUAUCGAGAGAUGUCCAUUGAAACGGUCAAGAUGAAGAACCCGCUGCUUUCUGAGGACGAGGCGGAGGACAGGGCCAAGAUUGUAUUCGAACGUGCAGCCAAGAGGUACUUCCUUCGAUCCAUCCGCAUUGGCAAGAGGAUGAGACCCAAAAGACUCUGGGGUUACUACCUGUACCCCGACUGCUACAACUACGACUACAACCAGGACAUGGUGGGCUUCACUGGAGAGUGUCCCGCCAUUGAGAAGGAAAGGAACGAUGAUCUGAUGUGGCUCUGGAAAGAUUCCACAGCACUCUUUCCAUCCAUCUACCUGGAGCUGGUGCUCAGAGACUCCCAGCAGGCCCGGAAGUUUGUUCGCCAUCGCAUCCAGGAGGCCAUGAGGGUGUCAACACUCCCCAACAGAUCCUACUCCAUCCCCGUCUACGCCUACAUCCGCCCGGUGUACAAGGACAGCGUCGAUGACUACAUGUCAGAGUUUGAUCUGGUGAACACCAUCGGAGAAGCUGCUGCUCUCGGCGCCGCUGGCGUUGUUUCCUGGGGAGACAUGAACGUCACCGACACAGAGGACUCCUGCUUUGACGCUCGGCGCCACCUGGAGCGAGUCAUGAACCCGUACAUCGUGAACGUCUCCACAGCAACGCAACUCUGCAGCCAGGCGCUCUGCCAGGGCCAUGGUCGCUGUGUGAGGAAGCAGUGGGACGAUGACGUCUUCCUCCACCUUGACCCGUGGCGUUACAGCAUUGAGCAGCAACGCCGCGGCGGCCCUCUGACUGUGAGUGGCGGCCUGUCACAGGAUGACGUCAACUGGUUUGACCAAAACUUCGACUGCAUGUGCUAUAGCGAGAAGCCGUGUCGAUCGGUCCUGACGUUCAACGUCAUUAACGAGGCCUUCCUCACCACGAGGAGUCAAAGUACUGAGAAGCCCCGCCCCCUGCUGCUGGUGAUGAUACUGCUCUGUCUGAAGUAUACAGUGAUGCAGAUGUAGAUUAUUAACACAAAUGUGACACCUGUGAUACAGGACAUGUGGUUACAGGCAGACAGACACCAUUAGAACAGUGGAAAUGCAGUACGGAAAGGCGACCACUAGAUGGCAGAGCAGCCUGAUCACAGACAGAGAAGGAGGAGGAGGAGGAGGAGAAGGAGG